RNAcentral lists this ribosomal RNA (2259 nucleotides) under Campylobacter jejuni. RNAcentral's name for it is "partial 23S ribosomal RNA". It matches the Rfam family "Bacterial large subunit ribosomal RNA", at positions 1 to 2263 of the family's 2925-position model. The record is from RNAcentral. Lineage: Bacteria; Pseudomonadati; Campylobacterota; Epsilonproteobacteria; Campylobacterales; Campylobacteraceae.
AAGGUAAGCUACUAAGAGCGAAUGGUGGAUGCCUUGACUGGUAAAGGCGAUGAAGGACGUACUAGACUGCGAUAAGCUACGGGGAGCUGUCAAGAAGCUUUGAUCCGUAGAUUUCCGAAUGGGACAACCCAAUGUAUAGAGAUAUACAUUACCUAUAUAGGAGCGAACGAGGGGAAUUGAAACAUCUUAGUACCCUCAGGAAAAGAAAUCAAUAGAGAUUGCGUCAGUAGCGGCGAGCGAAAGCGCAAGAGGGCAAACCCAGUGCUUGCACUGGGGGUUGUAGGACUGCAAUGUGCAAGAGCUGAGUUUAGCAGAACAUUCUGGAAAGUAUAGCCAUAGAGGGUGAUAGUCCCGUAUGCGAAAAACAAAGCUUAGCUAGCAGUAUCCUGAGUAGGGCGGGACACGAGGAAUCCUGUCUGAAUCCGGGUCGACCACGAUCCAACCCUAAAUACUAAUACCAGAUCGAUAGUGCACAAGUACCGUGAGGGAAAGGUGAAAAGAACUGAGGUGAUCAGAGUGAAAUAGAACCUGAAACCAUUUGCUUACAAUCAUUCAGAGCACUAUGUAGCAAUACAGUGUGAUGGACUGCCUUUUGCAUAAUGAGCCUGCGAGUUGUGGUGUCUGGCAAGGUUAAGCAAACGCGAAGCCGUAGCGAAAGCGAGUCUGAAUAGGGCGCUUAGUCAGAUGCUGCAGACCCGAAACGAAGUGAUCUAUCCAUGAGCAAGUUGAAGCUAGUGUAAGAACUAGUGGAGGACUGAACCCAUAGGCGUUGAAAAGCCCCGGGAUGACUUGUGGAUAGGGGUGAAAGGCCAAUCAAACUUCGUGAUAGCUGGUUCUCUCCGAAAUAUAUUUAGGUAUAGCGUUGUGUCGUAAUAUAAGGGGGUAGAGCACUGAAUGGGCUAGGGCAUACACCAAUGUACCAAACCCUAUCAAACUCCGAAUACCUUAUAUGUAAUCACAGCAGUCAGGCGGCGAGUGAUAAAAUCCGUCGUCAAGAGGGAAACAACCCAGACUACCAGCUAAGGUCCCUAAAUCUUACUUAAGUGGAAAACGAUGUGAAGUUACUUAAACAACCAGGAGGUUGGCUUAGAAGCAGCCAUCCUUUAAAGAAAGCGUAAUAGCUCACUGGUCUAGUGAUUUUGCGCGGAAAAUAUAACGGGGCUAAAGUAAGUACCGAAGCUGUAGACUUAGUUUACUAAGUGGUAGGAGAGCGUUCUAUUUGCGUCGAAGGUAUACCGGUAAGGAGUGCUGGAGCGAAUAGAAGUGAGCAUGCAGGCAUGAGUAGCGAUAAUUAAUGUGAGAAUCAUUAACGCCGUAAACCCAAGGUUUCCUACGCGAUGCUCGUCAUCGUAGGGUUAGUCGGGUCCUAAGUCGAGUCCGAAAGGGGUAGACGAUGGCAAAUUGGUUAAUAUUCCAAUACCAACAUUAGUGUGCGAUGGAAGGACGCUUAGGGCUAAGGGGGCUAGCGGAUGGAAGUGCUAGUCUAAGGUCGUAGGAGGUUAUACAGGAAAAUCCGUAUAACAAUACUCCGAGAACUGAAAGGCUUUUUGAAGUCUUCGGAUGGAUAGAAGAACCCCUGAUGCCGUCGAGCCAAGAAAAGUUUCUAAGUUUAGCUAAUGUUGCCCGUACCGUAAACCGACACAGGUGGGUGGGAUGAGUAUUCUAAGGCGCGUGGAAGAACUCUCUUUAAGGAACUCUGCAAAAUAGCACCGUAUCUUCGGUAUAAGGUGUGGUUAGCUUCGUACUAGGAUUUACUCCGAAAGCGAAGAAACUUACAACAAAGAGUCCCUCCCGACUGUUUACCAAAAACACAGCACUCUGCUAACUCGUAAGAGGAUGUAUAGGGUGUGACGCCUGCCCGGUGCUCGAAGGUUAAUUGAUGGGGUUAGCAUUAGCGAAGCUCUUGAUCGAAGCCCGAGUAAACGGCGGCCGUAACUAUAACGGUCCUAAGGUAGCGAAAUUCCUUGUCGGUUAAAUACCGACCUGCAUGAAUGGCGUAACGAGAUGGGAGCUGUCUCAAAGAGGGAUCCAGUGAAAUUGUAGUGGAGGUGAAAAUUCCUCCUACCCGCGGCAAGACGGAAAGACCCCGUGGACCUUUACUACAGCUUGACACUGCUACUUGGAUAAGAAUGUGCAGGAUAGGUGGGAGGCUUUGAGUAUAUGACGCCAGUUGUAUAGGAGCCAUUGUUGAGAUACCACUCUUUCUUAUUUGGGUAGCUAACCAGCUUGAGUUAUCCUCAAGUGGGACAAUGUCUGGUG